Prionailurus viverrinus (fishing cat) is the source of this 907-nucleotide long non-coding RNA. RefSeq lists it as uncharacterized. NCBI's taxonomy places the organism in Eukaryota, Metazoa, Chordata, Mammalia, Carnivora, Felidae. The record is from RefSeq and is a predicted model, not a curated record. The transcript is spliced from 7 exons.
CCGGAGGCGAGAGGCGCUUCAGAGACUGGAGGGACGGACCUGCAGGAGCCAGGGCUGCCCGCCGAGCUGCAGUUGCCGCUGCUGCCGCUGUCGCUGUCGCGCUGCCGCCGCCGCCGUUGCUGUCAGCGCUCGAGUGAAGAGUGACAGCGCCGCAAGAGCGGGAGGGAGCGCCGAACCCCGCGAACCUACGAAACAGGUGCAUGCGCCGAUCUCCUGGCCAGUGGACCCAGCUCGCAAGGUUGCCAUUCAUGAGCCCGAGGCUGUGAGAAAUGCUCGCUGUGCAAAGGGGAGCUCUCACCAGAUUUUCUGAAGCUGUCCUAGAAAUACACUUUUCAGAUUGAUUCAGCUUUACCAGCUUAUCCAACAAAAGUAUUAACAUAUACAUUAACAACGUCGAAAGUAGCCUACUUUAAGAGAAAAUAUGCAGAAGAAGAAGAUUUACAUCAAGAUUACCAUGGGUAUUUUCCAAAACACCUGAUAUUGCCUGAGGACAGGACUUGCAUUCUCAAACUUUCUCUGGAGAAGCUCAGGUUUCUUGAAGACCCAGAAACCUACUUAAGAAGACUGUGAAGUACCCAAGAGAAAGACUGUCCUUUGCUCGUCUGUUUUUCUUUAUCCUCAGGAACUAAAUAAAUGUUUCUUGAAUGAAUAAAUGAGUAGACCUGAAUCCAUCUGUAACAUUUCCUUUGCAGAGCACUUCACACAAAGUGAAACUCAGUGUCUGUUCCAAAGGCACAGUCAGCCCCCAUCUUCCUACAAUACCGUCCUCUGCCCCACCCCACCAUGACACACAGAAAGACCAAGAACUGAAAAUACCCUUAAAAGAUUAUGGUGGCAUGGAAUCUUACACUGAAGAAGAUAAAGCAAAGGAACUACACUCCAUUUAGACAAUACAUAUUACAAAAUA